RNAcentral lists this small RNA (355 nucleotides) under uncultured fungus. Its description in RNAcentral is "eukaryotic LSU rRNA". The stretch from base 1 to 75 matches the Rfam family "5.8S ribosomal RNA", at positions 80 to 154 of the family's 154-position model. The record is from RNAcentral. Lineage: Eukaryota; Fungi.
UUCAGUGAAUCAUCGAAUCUUUGAACGCAUAUUGCGCUCUUUGGUAUUCCGAAGAGCAUGCUUGUUUGAGUAUCAGUAAACACCUCAACCUCCUCUGUUUUUUCAAAAGGAGGGUGGACUUGAGCUAUCCCAACAACCUUCACCGGUAGGCGGGCGGCUUGAAAUGCAGGUGCAGCUGGACUUUUAUCUGAGCUAAAAGCAUAUCUAUUUAGUCCUCGUCAAACAGGAUUAUUACUAUUGCUGCAGCUAACAUAAAGGAUAAUUGUCCUCAUUGCUGACUGAUGCAGGAUUUUACGACACUUUAUGUGUUGUUCAACUCGAUCUCAAAUCAAGUAAGACUACCCGCUGAACUUAA